RNAcentral lists this ribosomal RNA (377 nucleotides) under uncultured eukaryote. RNAcentral describes it as "partial 18S ribosomal RNA". It matches the Rfam family "Eukaryotic small subunit ribosomal RNA", at positions 592 to 975 of the family's 1831-position model. The record is from RNAcentral.
CAAUAGCGUAUAUUUAAGUUGUUGCAGUUAAAAAGCUCGUAGUUGGAUUUCGGGUGGGACGCAGCGGUCUCGCAUUGCGUUUGUACUGCUGCAGCCCUCCUUCUUGCCGGGGGCGGCCUCUCGGACUUCACUGUCUGGGGGUCAGAAUCGGCGAUGUUACUUUGAGUAAAUUAGAGUGUUCAAAGCAAGCUUACGCUCUGAAUAUAAUAGCAUGGGAUAACACGACAGGACUCUGGCCUAUCGUGUUGGUCUAUAGGACCAGAGUAAUGAUUAAGAGGGACAGUCGGGGGCAUUCGUAUUCCGUUGUCAGAGGUGAAAUUCUUGGAUUUACGGAAGACGAACUUCUGCGAANGNAUUUGUNAAGGAUGUUUNCAUUA